GAUGAACGCUGGCGGCGUGCCUAAUACAUGCAAGUCGAGCGAACGGACGAGAAGCUUGCUUUUCUGAUGUUAGCGGCGGACGGGUGAGUAACACGUGGAUAACCUACCUAUAAGACUGGGAUAACUUCGGGAAACCGGAGCUAAUACCGGAUAAUAUUUUGAACCGCAUGGUUCAAAAGUGAAAGACGGUCUUGCUGUCACUUAUAGAUGGAUCCGCGCUGCAUUAGCUAGUUGGUAAGGUAACGGCUUACCAAGGCAACGAUGCAUAGCCGACCUGAGAGGGUGAUCGGCCGCACUGGAACUGAGACACGGUCCAGACUCCUACGGGAGGCAGCAGUAGGGAAUCUUCCGCAAUGGGCGAAAGCCUGACGGAGCAACGCCGCGUGAGUGAUGAAGGUCUUCGGAUCGUAAAACUCUGUUAUUAGGGAAGAACAUAUGUGUAAGUAACUGUGCACAUCUUGACGGUACCUAGUCAGAAAGCCACGGCUAACUACGUG
RNAcentral lists this ribosomal RNA (497 nucleotides) under uncultured bacterium. RNAcentral describes it as "partial 16S ribosomal RNA". It matches the Rfam family "Bacterial small subunit ribosomal RNA", at positions 28 to 507 of the family's 1533-position model. The record is from RNAcentral.